RNAcentral lists this ribosomal RNA (404 nucleotides) under Fusobacteriota bacterium. RNAcentral describes it as "Fusobacteria bacterium partial 16S ribosomal RNA". It matches the Rfam family "Bacterial small subunit ribosomal RNA", at positions 355 to 776 of the family's 1533-position model. Lineage: Bacteria; Fusobacteriati; Fusobacteriota. The record is from RNAcentral.
UGGGGAAUAUUGCACAAUGGAGGGAACUCUGAUGCAGCGACGCCGCGUGAGUGAUGAAGGACUUCGUUUCGUAAAACUCUGUUCUAUGGGAAGAAAAGGACUGUACCAUAGGAGAAAGCUCCGGCUAAAUACGUGCCAGCAGCCGCGGUAAUACGUAUGGAGCGAGCGUUGUCCGGAAUUAUUGGGCGUAAAGGGUGCGCAGGCGGCUUUACAAGUUGGAUGUGAAAUAUUGUGGCUCAACCACAAACGUGCAUCCAAAACUGCAAAGCUGGAGUUAAGGAGAGGUAAGUGGAAUGCCUGGUGUAGCGGUGGAAUGCGUAGAUAUCAGGAGGAAUACCGGUGGCGAAGGCGACUUACUGGACUUAAACUGACGCUCAGGCACGAAAGCGUGGGGAGCAAACAGG